UAAAAGCAUGCAAAAUGNAUUUCAGGUUCAC
RNAcentral lists this non-coding RNA (31 nucleotides) under Mus musculus (house mouse). Lineage: Eukaryota; Metazoa; Chordata; Mammalia; Rodentia; Muridae. The record is from RNAcentral.